AGAACGAACGCUGGCGGCGUGGAUUAGGCAUGCAAGUCGAACGCGAAAGAGGGAGUAAUCCCUCGAGUAGAGUGGCGAACGGGUGAGUAACGCGUGAAGAACCUGCCUUCAACAGGGGGAUAACACUCCCAACGGGGUGCUAAUACCGCAUGAGACCACGGGGUCGCAUGGCCCUGAGGUCAAAGGUGGCCUCUAUUUAUAAGCUACCGGUUGAAGAUGGCUUCGCGUCCCAUUAGCUAGUUGGCGGUGUAAAAGACCACCAAGGCGACGAUGGGUAGCUGGUCUGAGAGGAUGGUCAGCCAGACUGGGACUGAGAUACGGCCAGACUCCGUACGGGAGGCAGCAGUCGAGAGGCUUUGGCAAGUGGGGAACCCUGACCAAGCGACGCCGCGUGGAGGA
RNAcentral lists this ribosomal RNA (399 nucleotides) under uncultured soil bacterium. RNAcentral's name for it is "bacterial SSU rRNA". It matches the Rfam family "Bacterial small subunit ribosomal RNA", at positions 26 to 408 of the family's 1533-position model. The record is from RNAcentral.